RNA transcript from Cryptomeria japonica (Japanese cedar), 3822 nucleotides. It is a transcript of the gene named protein ENHANCED DISEASE RESISTANCE 2, with no coding region annotated. The transcript is spliced from 24 exons. The record is from RefSeq and is a predicted model, not a curated record. Lineage: Eukaryota; Viridiplantae; Streptophyta; Pinopsida; Cupressales; Cupressaceae.
UUCCCGCCAUCGUCGUAAUUAGUUGACUUGGCGAAUGAAUUCAUAAAACAGCGUGAACGAUCGCUCUGGAAAAUAUCGCCCAUUCCGUUGACUAAGUUGCCGUUUAAAUAAAGCCGGCAAAUUUUUACCGGGCACACCGUCUUCGACGAGAGCGGGCGAUAAUAGUAAAUAAUUGGCGACAAAUGCUUUUCUAGGGUUUUCCCCUUUUAAAUUUGAUUUUAGCGGAUUCAAGGUCUAUAAUUAAUUCCGAUUUAUUUUUUAGAUGUGCGGAGGAGCAAUGGAAUUCGACCUGAUCUCGUGUUCGAAUUGGCAGAGGAGAAUUUAUAGCGGGCAGCCUGUUGAGUUGCCCCAAUUAAAACCUGGAGCGUCUCUGCGGCGAUUUGUAUGUUUGUAAAAUUUUUAUAUUCUUUAUGGAAACUGUCUGUUUGUUGAUUGGAUUAUGAGAGAGAAUAGCUCAUUAUUAUUGGUGAGCGUGAUCAGAGGACUCGGCUGUCAUGGUAGUGGAUCAGUUUUGUCAUCUGAAUGUUGCUUCUAUCUGGAGAAACAACAAUAGUAGUAGUAAUACUAGUAAUUUUAAUUCGGUCAAGAACAGUGAAGAAGACGGAGUAGGGUUCAACAUGAACAAGGUGAUUUUGGAAGGGUGGAUGGUGCGUUAUGGCCGCCGGAAGAUCGGGAGGUCUUUUAUUCACAAGCGCUAUUUUGUUCUCGAAUCGCGAGUUCUUGCCUAUUAUAAGAGAAAGCCAUUGGAAAAUGAGGUCCCUAUCAAGUCUCUUCUUAUUGAUGGGAGUUGUAGAGUGGAGGACCGAGGGUUGGAGACACAUCAUGGGCAUGUAGUCUAUGUAUUAUCUGUUUACAAUAAGAAAGACAAAUCACAUCGGAUAACGAUGGCUGCAUUUAAUCUCCAGGAAUCUUUAAUGUGGAAAGAAAAGAUUGAACUUGUGAUUGACCAGUAUCAUGGUGCGUUAGGAAAUGGAAGCAAGGGAUAUGCAGCUGUUGAGUACAAGUCAAAUAUAGAUAACGAAAGGAAUGCUUCGUCAUCAGAGCAUGACAGUCAGUUAAGUGCACAAGAAUAUGAAUGUGAGAAUAGUCAAAGUCUUAGUCGAAGUCUUGACCGAAGAACAACAAUAGGAAAUGGUCCACCUGACUCGGUUCUUGAUUGGACUCGUGAAGCUGAGUCAAGUUCAACUUAUCAAAAUAAUCAGGAUCAACCAUUCUCCAGAAAGCAUUGGCGAUUGGUUCGAUGCCAAAAUGGUCUUCGGAUCUUCGAAGAGCUUCUGGAGGCUGACUACUUGCCACAAAGUUGUAGUAGACCAAUGAAGGCAGUAGGUGUCGUGGAUGCUACAUGUGAAGCAAUUUUUGAGCUUAUAAUGGGGAUGGAUGAAACUCGAUACGAGUGGGAUUGUAGUUUUCAAUAUGGAAGCUUGGUAGAGGAGGUUGAUGGGCAUACUGCCAUUCUUUACCAUAGAUUGCAGUUGGACUGGUUUCCAACGUUUGUGUGGCCACGUGAUCUGUGCUAUGUGCGCUACUGGCGACGUAAUGAUGACGGAAGUUAUGUUGUCCUAUUCCGUUCAAGGGAACAUUCAAACUGUCCUGCACAGCCUGGUUUUGUGCGAGCUCACAUUGAUAGUGGUGGGUUCACCAUAUCUCCACUGCAACCUCGUAAGACUGGAGAGCCUCGAUCCCGUGUCCAACAUCUUAUGCAAAUUGACUUGAAGGGAUGGGGUGUUAGCUAUUUCCCUAGAUUUCAGCAGCAUUGCCUACUUCAAAUGUUGAAUAGUGUUGCGGGCUUGCGCGAAUGGUUUUCUCAACGAGAUAAUAGUCUUGCAAUGCCACAUAUCCAAGUGAUGACAAACAUGCGCUCAGAAUUGGAAUCAUCGAAGAAGGGAAGGAAACGACAACAAGGAUUCGUUCAAUCAAGCUCACCUUUGGAUUCAAUGCCUGUAGAGUGUGAUAUUCCAGAGGAAGAUUCUGAUGAAGAUGAAGAUUUCCAAUUGCCCGAUCAAGAGAUGGAUUCGAGAAAACUUCAAAAGGAAAGCAAAAGCACAGGUGUAGAAUUAAGUUUGAGUGAAGUAACCAGAACUGUGCAGGAAGAAACAACUGAUGCUCUUGAUUUAUCAUGUUUCCAUGGUACAUUGCGGCGAGAUGAUAGAGAUGCAGGUCGUGACUGCUGGGCUAUUCCAGAGGCAAACAAUUUUCGAGUUCGAAGCAAGAAUUUCUCCUUCAACAAAUCUAAGGUCCCUGCAGGACAAUAUUUAAUGCAACUUGUUGCAGUUGACUGGUUUAAGGAUGUGAAACGGAUAGACCAUGUUUCUAGACGAAAGGGUGGUGUAGUGCAGGUUGCGGCAGAAAAGGGAUUGUUUACUCUUGUUAUCAACCUUCAAGUGCCAGGAUCAACACACUAUAGCAUGGUCUUUUAUUUUGUAAUUAAAGAGCUUGUGCAGGGAUCACUAUUGCAGCGUUUUGUAGAUGGUGAUGAUGAAUUUCGGAAUAGCAGGCUGAAACUUAUUCCCUCUGUUCCAAAGGGUUCUUGGAUUGUUAGACAGAGUGUGGGAAGUACCCCUUGUAUUUUGGGUAAGGCAGUUGAUUGUAAUUAUUACCGUGGACUGAAGUACCUGGAGGUAGAUGUUGACAUAGGUUCGUCAACUGUUGCCAAUGGAGUGUUGGGUAUAGUAUUGGGUGUUGUGACAACAUUGGUGGUUGACAUGGCUUUCCUUGUUCAGGGAAAUAACCCAGAGGAGCUACCUGAACGCUUGAUUGGUGCUGUGCGCAUAUCACAUCUUAAGCUUUCGAGUGCACUGGCACCCUGGUUGGAAUCCGGUGCAUCAUAGUCUUCACAGUUCAUUGUUGGAUGUUGACCUUUUGUGUUGGGGCUUCCUGAACAUUUGCCAACUAAAUAGGGUUUUUGUUAAAGUUUGGCUUUGCAGUUUUGACCGUAGUCUACAUCAAGCUUGGGAAUAUGCGUGAUGGUACAUGGUAAUUGGCUGAGUUUUGCUUGCUCCAUCAAAGAAGAAUGCCUAAUUGACAUUCUUGUGCUUGUGUGGCAAUGCAUGAAGAGUAUUUCAUCAUAUGGAAGCUGUGUAGUUGCACCUUUGAGCUUUAUGUGUUCAUAUUUCAUGAUUUGAGGUGGCACAAAGUUCAAUUAUUCAAAUUGUGGCUAUCUUACUGUACUUGGAGAAUACAGACUCAUCUCAUGACUUGAAGUGAAGAAAGAGGUACUGGCGUUAUUUGGAUUCCCAAGGUGCAGGUGUGCACACUUGCUGAUAUGGGGACAUGAUGAUACUUAGUGAAGAUGCAAUUCUUGGCAUAAGAGUAGAAUGCUUUCUGAUGCUUAGGAAUUGAUGAAAAAGGGUUGUAGAAGAUAACUGUUUCACGACAUUGAUUUAAUUGAGUUUCUUCCCUUAAUGGUUUGUUUUGAUAAUUACCUAUGCAAACCAAAGGUUUAAGGCUCAUUUGAGCUGUCAGUGAGGUGGGAGGCAAAAGGAUAGAGCUUGGAUAGAGAAUUUGAAGUAGAAUUGAAGAUUUGGGCAGAAGGCCCAUUCCAAGGGUGAAUCCAAGUAGUUGAGAUUGGAAGUCAGGGGGUGUAUCAGUGAGGAUCUGACUGUGCAUUGCUUAUGGUGUAAGUGAAGAGUUGAAUUUUUGUGGUAUUGCUCACAUUGAAAAUUGUUCUGUAAUCAAUAUGUAGACUGGUAAAUAGUUCGUAGUGGAGUGCAUUGAGUUGGAUUGUAAUACCUUGUUUUUUCUGUGGUAAGGCUUCAAGGUGAUUGUAAUACCUAGAAGCUCAGUGUACUUAUUCUAGAUGAAAUAAAUACAUCAUUUUCUCUA